GGUCUCGUGGGCUCGUAGAUGUGUAUAAGAGACAGGAACCAGUACCGUGAGGGAAAGGUGAAAAGAACCGUGAAUAACGGAGUGAAAUAGACCCUGAAACCAUACGCUUACAAGCGGUCGGAGCGGCGUGAGCCGUGACGGCGUGCCUUUUGCAUAAUGAGCCUACGAGUUACUGUUACCAGCGAGGAUAAGUAUUUCAGAUACGAAUCCGUAGCGAAAGCGAGUCUGAAUAGGGCGGCUAAUAGUUGGUAGUAGUAGACGCGAAACCUGGUGAUCUACCCUUGGGCAGGUUGAAGCGCUGGUAACACAGCGUGGAGGACCGAACUGGUUGUCGUUGAAAAGACUUCGGAUGACCUGAGGGUAGGGGUGAAAGGCCAAUCAAACUGGGAAAUAGCUCGUACUCCCCGAAAUGCAUUUAGGUGCAGCGUUGUAAUAGAGUUUAAUAGAGGUAGAGCUACUGAUUGGAUGCGGGGGUUUCACCGCCUACCAAUUCCUGACAAACUCCGAAUGCUAUUAAAUGCUCAUCAGCAGUGAGGGUAUGGGUGCUAAGGUCCAUAUCCUAAAGGGAAAGAACCCGGACCAUCAGCUAAGGUCCCCAAAUAUAUGCUAAGUUGACCAAACGCGGUCUGACUGCACUGACAGCUAGGAUGUUGGCUUGGAAGCAGCCAUACAUUUAAAGAGUGCGUAACAGCUCACUAGUCGAGCGGUUGGGCAUGGAUAAUAAACGGGCAUAAGCAUAUUACCGAAGCUAUGGCAACGAAAGUUGGGUAGGGGAGCAUUCUAUCGGCGCAGAAGCAUCACUGUGAGGUGAUGUGGAGCUUAUAGAAAAGAAAAUGUAGGCAUAAGUAACGAUAAGGCAGGCGAGAAACCUGCCCGCCGAAAGAUCAAGGUUUCCUCAGCUAUGCUAAUCAGCUGAGGGUUAGUCGGGGACUAACGCGAACCCGAGUAGGGGUAGUGGAUGUACAAUAGGUUAAUAUUCCUAUACCAUUAGUCUGUUAAAAGUGACGGAAUGAGAUAACUACCGCGUACUGACGGAAUAGUACGUUUAAGGAGUUGUUAUGACUUCGAAAGUACGCUGAGGCUUCGGCCGAGGUGAGUGUGGUGACAACGUUUCCAAGAAAAGCGAAGGCUAAUGCCCGUACCGUAAACCGACACAGGUGAUUGGGAUGAGAAUUCUAAGGCGCUCGAGAGAUUCAUGGCUAAGGAACUAGGCAAAAUAGACCUGUAACUUAGGGAGAAAGGUCGCCUAUCAUUAGAUAGGCCGCAGUGAAAAGGUCCAAGCGACUGUUUAUCAAAAACACAGGACUCUGCAAAAUCGAAAGAUGAAGUAUAGGGUCUGACACCUGCCCGGUGCUGGAAGGUUAAGAGGAGAGCUUAGCAGCAAUGCGAAGGUUUGAAUUGAAGCCCCAGUAAACGGCGGCCGUAACUAUAACGGUCCUAAGGUAGCGAAAUUCCUUGUCGGGUAAGUUCCGACCUGCACGAAUGGUGUAACGAUUUGGACACUGUCUCGGCCAUGAGCUCGGUGAAAUUGUAGUAUCGGUGAAGAUGCCGAUUACCCGCAGUGGGACGAAAAGACCCUGUGCACCUUUACUAUAUCUUCGUAUUGGUCUUGGAUAAGUGAUGCGUAGGAUAGGUGGGAGACUAAGAAGCGGCUAUUCCGGUAGUUGUGGAGUCAUUGUUGAAAUACCACCCUUUGCUUAUCUGAGGUCUAACCCUGCUAGGAGCAGGGGACAAUUCGUGGAGGGUAGUUUGACUGGGGUGGUCGCCUCCAAAAGAGUAACGGAGGCUUCUAAAGGUUCCCUCAGCACGCUUGGUAACCGUGCGUAGAGUGCAAUGGCAUAAGGGAGCUUGACUGAGAGACCCACAAGUCGAUCAGGUACGAAAGUAGAGCAUAGUGAUCCGGUGGUUCCGUAUGGAAGGGCCAUCGCUCAAAGGAUAAAAGGUACUCCGGGGAUAACAGGCUGAUCACUCCCAAGAGCUCAUAUCGACGGAGUGGUUUGGCACCUCGAUGUCGGCUCGUCACAUCCUGGGGCUGGAGAAGGUCCCAAGGGUUGGGCUGUUCGCCCAUUAAAGUGGCACGCGAGCUGGGUUCAGAACGUCGUGAGACAGUUCGGUCUCUAUCUAUUGUGGGCGUAGGAUAUUUGCGGGGAUUUGACACUAGUACGAGAGGACCGUGUCGGACGCACCGCCGGUGGAUCAGUUGUCCCGCCAGGGGCAUAGCUGAGUAGCUGUGUGCGGAUAGGAUAAGUGCUGAAAGCAUCUAAGCACGAAGCCGUCCUCAAGAUGAGAUAUCCAUAUAAGGGACGUUAGAGACGAUGACGUUGAUAGGCUGUAGGUGUAAGUGCAGUAAUGUAUUUAGCCGAGCAGUACUAAUUUCCCAAGAAUGCUUUAUCCC
This 2395-nucleotide ribosomal RNA is filed under the name metagenome. RNAcentral's name for it is "bacterial LSU rRNA". It matches the Rfam family "Bacterial large subunit ribosomal RNA", at positions 455 to 2925 of the family's 2925-position model. The record is from RNAcentral.